UACGUAGGUGGCAAGCGUUGUCCGGAUUUACUGGGCGUAAAGAGCGCGUAGGCGGCCAGAUAAGUCCGGUGUGAAAGUCACAGGCUCAACCUGUGAAUGCCGCUGGAAACUGUCUGGCUAGAGUCCGGAAGGGGCGAGUGGAAUUCCUGGUGUAGCGGUGAAAUGCGCAGAUAUCAGGAGGAACACCAAUGGCGAAGGCAGCUCGCUGGGACGGUACUGACGCUGAGGCGCGAAAGCGUGGGGAGCGAACAGG
Molecule: ribosomal RNA, 253 nt
Filed under: uncultured bacterium
Lineage: Bacteria
Description: partial 16S ribosomal RNA
Rfam family: Bacterial small subunit ribosomal RNA
Source: RNAcentral